RNAcentral lists this ribosomal RNA (369 nucleotides) under Triticum aestivum (bread wheat). Its description in RNAcentral is "partial small subunit ribosomal RNA". The record is from RNAcentral. Lineage: Eukaryota; Viridiplantae; Streptophyta; Magnoliopsida; Poales; Poaceae.
AUGAACAUCUGUAUUUUAGCCUCUUGGGUGAGUAGAUACUAUAAUGUUGAGGGUAAGAUUUGGAAAAAUAUUAUUGAUUCUAAAAAUAACCUCCAGAGUCCUAAUAUUUUUUCUUGCUUCACUUCUGGGGCUUCACCCUUCUGGAAGGGUGUACUUUGGGCAUCUCAUCCUGCAAAAGUUGGUUUCUCCUGGAGCAUAGGUAAUAGCAAAAGCGUUAGAUUCUGGGAGGACCAUUGGUUUGGCAAUGCUACCUUAGCUACCCAAUAUUAGGAUAUUUACAUUCUAACUAACGAGCAUAAUUUCACUAUUGACACAGUCUGGGAUGGUAUUAAGCUUAAGCUCACUUUCAGGACAUGUUUCACUCAAUAA